RNAcentral lists this ribosomal RNA (484 nucleotides) under uncultured bacterium. Its description in RNAcentral is "partial 16S ribosomal RNA". It matches the Rfam family "Bacterial small subunit ribosomal RNA", at positions 30 to 507 of the family's 1533-position model. The record is from RNAcentral.
AUUGAACGCUGGCGGCAGGCCUAACACAUGCAAGUCGAGCGGAUGAAGGGAGCUUGCUCCUGGAUUCAGCGGCGGACGGGUGAGUAAUGCCUAGGAAUCUGCCUGGUAGUGGGGGAUAACGUCCGGAAACGGGCGCUAAUACCGCAUACGUCCUGAGGGAGAAAGUGGGGGAUCUUCGGACCUCACGCUAUCAGAUGAGCCUAGGUCGGAUUAGCUAGUUGGUGGGGUAAAGGCCUACCAAGGCGACGAUCCGUAACUGGUCUGAGAGGAUGACCAGUCACACUGGAACUGAGACACGGUCCAGACUCCUACGGGAGGCAGCAGUGGGGAAUAUUGGGCAAUGGGCGAAAGCCUGAUCCAGCCAUGCCGCGUGUGUGAAGAAGGUCUUCGGAUUGUAAAGCACUUUAAGUUGGGAGGAAGGGCAGUAAGUUAAUACCUUGCUGUUUUGACGUUACCAACAGAAUAAGCACCGGCUAACUUCGUG